RNAcentral lists this non-coding RNA (34 nucleotides) under unclassified sequences. Its description in RNAcentral is "DUF805b RNA". It matches the Rfam family "DUF805b RNA". Rfam says of the family: Bacteroidetes, Chlorobi (1 example), Proteobacteria. Lineage (Flavobacteria) The record is from RNAcentral.
ACGGAGGUUCCGAAAAUCCAAGAAAGAGUAGGAA